Molecule: long non-coding RNA, 231 nt
Organism: Nematostella vectensis (starlet sea anemone)
Lineage: Eukaryota; Metazoa; Cnidaria; Anthozoa; Actiniaria; Edwardsiidae
Exons: 2
Source: RefSeq, a predicted model, not a curated record
GUUAUGUUACAGUGAACAUCACAAAGACUGGGACCUCUGACAUUUCUCUAGAUGUGAAGCUAAGCACAAACAACGGCACAGCAUUCUCUCCCGUCGACUAUACUUCAAUGUCUGACAAUAUGGUAACGUUUUUGUCCAACGAACAAUCUAAGCUAGUAAACAUAACCAUCAAUGUUGACCAGACAGUUGAAAAUGAUGAAGAUUUCAAGGCCCUCCUGUCUCACACUAACG